GGGGCAGUCAUCGGUAUGACGCGGAAGACUUUGGACCUACCGCGCGCCAGUUCGACUCUGGUCUGCUCCA
Molecule: transfer RNA, 70 nt
Filed under: Burkholderiales bacterium
Lineage: Bacteria; Pseudomonadati; Pseudomonadota; Betaproteobacteria; Burkholderiales
Description: tRNA-OTHER
Source: RNAcentral